RNAcentral lists this small nuclear RNA (334 nucleotides) under Callithrix jacchus (white-tufted-ear marmoset). RNAcentral describes it as "7SK RNA". It matches the Rfam family "7SK RNA". Rfam says of the family: 7SK was discovered as an abundant small nuclear RNA in the mid-70s but a possible function has only recently been suggested. Two independent studies have found that 7SK RNA binds the CDK9/cyclin T complex (known as elongation factor P-TEFb). P-TEFb activates transcription by phosphorylating the C-terminal domain of RNA polymerase II. The record is from Rfam by way of RNAcentral. Lineage: Eukaryota; Metazoa; Chordata; Mammalia; Primates; Cebidae.
GGAUGUGAGGGCGAUCUAACUAUAACACAUGUCAUCCCAUUGACUACCAGGGUUGAUUCAGCUAAUCUGGCUAGCCAGGUGAAAGUCCCCUUCCCCGCUCACCGCUGCAUGUGUGUCCCUCUUGAAGCUGCAUGAUCACUUGAAGAGGAUGACUAUUCCCUGUUGAGGAGGACCGUUCUUUAAUCAAAGGCAUAUGAGUAGCUGUGCUCCUCUGCUCGAACCUCCAAACGAGCUCUCAAAAUUAAUCCUAUGCCCACUAUAACUAUUGACGGAAUUUGGGUAAAAACAUAAUGUGACCAAAUUUGCAAUUUUACUUCUGAGUUUUGGUUUACUU